Molecule: ribosomal RNA, 408 nt
Filed under: Verrucomicrobiota bacterium
Lineage: Bacteria; Pseudomonadati; Verrucomicrobiota
Description: Verrucomicrobia bacterium partial 16S ribosomal RNA
Rfam family: Bacterial small subunit ribosomal RNA
Source: RNAcentral
UGGGGAAUAUUGCACAAUGGGCGGAAGCCUGAUGCAGCGACGCCGCGUGAGGGAUGACGGCCUUCGGGUUGUAAACCUCUUUCAGUAGGGACGAAGCGUAAGUGACGGUACCUGCAGAAGAAGCACCGGCUAACUACGUGCCAGCAGCCGCGGUAAUACGUAGGUCCCGAGCGUUGUCCGGAUUUAUUGGGCGUAAAGCGAGCGCAGGCGGUUAGAAAAGUCUGAAGUGAAAGGCAGUGGCUCAACCAUUGUAGGCUUUGGAAACUGUUUAACUUGAGUGCAGAAGGGGAGAGUGGAAUUCCAUGUGUAGCGGUGAAAUGCGUAGAUAUAUGGAGGAACACCGGUGGCGAAAGCGGCUCUCUGGUCUGUAACGGACGCUGAGGCUCGAAAGCGUGGGGAGCGAACAGG